CCGGAUGUUAGCGGCGGACGGGUGAGUAACACGUGGGUAACCUGCCUGUAAGACUGGGAUAACUCCGGGAAACCGGAGCUAAUACCGGAUAGUUCCUUGAACCGCAUGGUUCAAGGAUGAAAGACGGUUUCGGCUGUCACUUACAGAUGGACCCGCGGCGCAUUAGCUAGUUGGUGAGGUAACGGCUCACCAAGGCGACGAUGCGUAGCCGACCUGAGAGGGUGAUCGGCCACACUGGGACUGAGACACGGCCCAGACUCCUACGGGAGGCAGCAGUAGGGAAUCUUCCGCAAUGGACGAAAGUCUGACGGAGCAACGCCGCGUGAGUGAUGAAGGUUUUCGGAUCGUAAAGCUCUGUUGUUAGGGAAGAACAAGUGCAAGAGUAACUGCUUGCACCUUGACGGUACCUAACCAGAAAGCCACGGCUAACUACGUGCCAGCAGCCGCGGUAAUACGUAGGUGGCAAGCGUUGUCCGGAAUUAUUGGGCGUAAAGGGCUCGCAGGCGGUUUCUUAAGUCUGAUGUGAAAGCCCCCGGCUCAACCGGGGAGGGUCAUUGGAAACUGGGAAACUUGAGUGCAGAAGAGGAGAGUGGAAUUCC
Molecule: ribosomal RNA, 599 nt
Filed under: Bacillus altitudinis
Lineage: Bacteria; Bacillati; Bacillota; Bacilli; Caryophanales; Bacillaceae
Description: bacterial SSU rRNA
Rfam family: Bacterial small subunit ribosomal RNA
Source: RNAcentral